This 510-nucleotide ribosomal RNA is filed under the name Candida albicans. Its description in RNAcentral is "eukaryotic LSU rRNA". The stretch from base 143 to 296 matches the Rfam family "5.8S ribosomal RNA". The record is from RNAcentral. Lineage: Eukaryota; Fungi; Ascomycota; Pichiomycetes; Serinales; Debaryomycetaceae.
AAAAUGACUUGCUUAUUGCACCACAUGUGUUUUUCUUUGAAACAAACUUGCUUUGGCGGUGGGCCCAGCCUGCCGCCAGAGGUCUAAACUUACAACCAAUUUUUUAUCAACUUGUCACACCAGAUUAUUACUUAAUAGUCAAAACUUUCAACAACGGAUCUCUUGGUUCUCGCAUCGAUGAAGAACGCAGCGAAAUGCGAUACGUAAUAUGAAUUGCAGAUAUUCGUGAAUCAUCGAAUCUUUGAACGCACAUUGCGCCCUCUGGUAUUCCGGAGGGCAUGCCUGUUUGAGCGUCGUUUCUCCCUCAAACCGCUGGGUUUGGUGUUGAGCAAUACGACUUGGGUUUGCUUGAAAGACGGUAGUGGUAAGGCGGGAUCGCUUUGACAAUGGCUUAGGUCUAACCAAAAACAUUGCUUGCGGCGGUAACGUCUACCACGUAUAUCUUCAAACUUUGACCUCAAAUCAGGUAGGACUACCCGCUGAACUUAAGCAUAUCAAAAGCCGGAGGAA